This 450-nucleotide ribosomal RNA is filed under the name uncultured bacterium. RNAcentral describes it as "partial 16S ribosomal RNA". It matches the Rfam family "Bacterial small subunit ribosomal RNA", at positions 338 to 795 of the family's 1533-position model. The record is from RNAcentral.
CCUACGGGUGGCUGCAGUAAGGAAUAUUGGUCAAUGGAGGAAACUCUGAACCAGCCAUCCCGCGUGAAGGAUGAAGGGGCUCUGCCUUGUAAACUUCUUUUGUCUGGGGCGAAAAAGCUCGAUUUAUCGAGAACUGACGGUACCAGAAGAAUAAGCACCGGCUAACUCCGUGCCAGCAGCCGCGGAAAUACGGAGGGUGCAGGAGUUAUCCGGAGUCCAGGGGUUGAAGGCGUGUUAGGGCGGCUGAGUAGAAAGGCUGUGGCUUAACCAUGGAAUUGCCAUUGAUACUGCAGAGCUUGAAUGAGGUUGAGGUUGGCGGAAUGUGACAUGUAGCGGUGAAAUGCUUAGAUAUGUCAUGGAACACCGAUUGCGAAGGCAGCUGACUGGACCUAUAUUGACGCUGAGGCACGAAAGCGUGGGGAGCGAACAGGAUUAGAUACCCCAGUAGUC